Molecule: small RNA, 163 nt
Filed under: Chelonoidis abingdonii (Abingdon island giant tortoise)
Lineage: Eukaryota; Metazoa; Chordata; Testudines; Testudinidae
Description: TUC338 (ENSCABG00000016971.1)
Source: RNAcentral
UUGACAUCCCUGAGGACCGACGUACUUUGUCUACAGAAUAUGUACAGCAUGUGAAGCAACAGUGCAGGCUUCCCUCCUCCAUCCUUUACCAACUGGACCUGCGAGCCACCUCAGUGGUGAAAGAGAAACUGAAUCUUCAUGACCCAUUCAUUCCUUGACUUCU